UCGGCCCGUGGCCAGCCCUAGACUACUUUGGUGUUUGGUGAAGUCCUAACAGCCUGCUUCUGCAGGAAGUCUUUUUGAAGGCAAAAUUAGAAGCAGCUUUCAGAAGCAGAAGCCGCGCGCUACUGUAGCGAAGGUUUAAUGAAUUUUUGGAAAUACCAAUGAGUACCCUCAUGAACUUCAAGGAAUUACACGACCCAGCCUCAUCUCUUCCUCAACUCUCUCUCUCUCUCUCUCUCUCGAUGCUCUUAGGACGACGUCGUGCCUCCAGCGGCGCCUCCACCUUUGCUCUCCCCGGUGGCCACGUCGAGUUCGGCUGCUUGGAUUAAAGCUCACCAAGAGGAAAAGAGAUAAGCUGUGGGAUUCUCAAGUUAAAUGAGGGAAGAUAUGAAGGAGAUAAAGUGAUAAGAAAGUUUCUGCAAUUGAUCAACCUAAUGAUCAAUGUGAAUUUUUUUGUGUUUCUUUUGUAUUGUUACAGGAGAAUACUUUGUGUAUAAAAGUCAAUUCAGUUGAUUGGAUUGGAUUCCUGAAUUUAAAGCCAUCAUAGUCAAACUGAUUGACAGAUUUUCUUCCUAUUGAAAUAUUUUUCGUAGUCCAUAA
This is a long non-coding RNA of Rosa rugosa (rugosa rose), 597 nucleotides long. RefSeq lists it as uncharacterized. Lineage: Eukaryota; Viridiplantae; Streptophyta; Magnoliopsida; Rosales; Rosaceae. The transcript is spliced from 2 exons. The record is from RefSeq and is a predicted model, not a curated record.